RNAcentral lists this long non-coding RNA (822 nucleotides) under Gallus gallus (chicken). RNAcentral's name for it is "lncRNA (ENSGALG00010028828.1)". Lineage: Eukaryota; Metazoa; Chordata; Aves; Galliformes; Phasianidae. The record is from RNAcentral.
CCCCAUUUGAGCCAUGGAUUUCAUGCUUAGCUCUGACCCCUCCAUUACCUCAGCCACCAGAGGGUGCCACAGCUCGGGGCCAGGCCGUGGUGACAGCCUGGUCCCCUGCAUGCAGGUGGUCUCCCUCCUCCCAUCCUUCCUCCAAAGCAGCGAAGUAUCACUCGGUCCUCUUGAGAGACGGAUGCCCCCAUGGUCCUGGUUGGCAUCGCACUGAAAAUACACUGAGAUCUGAAAUGAGAUGGGGGGGGAAAAAAACAACCAGCAACAAACCAACUGCUUGGUUCCAGGCUGACCGAAAAUGUUCGCUUUAAUUGGGGCUCUUUAAUUCCUUUUAGAAACGGUGGAGAGAAAUUUGGAGGCUGGUGCACUGUUCCACAGCAGAAGUUGAAAACGUUCGCCUUUGAUACACAUCAAACCAACGCCUUAACGUUCCCAGGGAUCCCCACUUGCUCAUUACUAAGAACCCAAUGAAAUCAAGUGAAGGAAGAGAAUAGCCACAGCCCUUUGCUGGUCUUGCAUGCAAGCAGAAGCUGCUUGUAAGAGCUAAACAGCAAGCAUAAAUGGAGCCCCAAAGCAGUUCCUGCAGCCUGGGAGUUGGACAACUGCACUGAGCCAAAUGGGAAUGGAGUCAGCCCAUAUCAGGAGCUGCUGGGAAAGAGGUUAAAUCUGCACCCACGUCACCACGGCUCCUGCUGGCAGCUUUGCUGGGUCUGGUGGAGCGUCCCAUGCCCAUCCUCGGACCAUCAGCCUCAUUCCUCCAGCACCAGCAGGACUUGCUCCCACUCGCACCCACUGGCUGACCUCUGUCUCAGCAUCUUGCAC